CACUGAUGUAGAGGCACCCUUAGAGUGCGUUCACACUGUAGAAUCUCCACUCGCUGAGUUCCGCGAGCAGAGAUUCCGCCUGGCAGCCGCCGCCGGGGAUUCUUCUGCGCUAGGGCCGUGGGGCACUGAGCCGUCACCAUUGACGGCUAUGCAUGUUCUUUCUUUGCGCGGAACAAUUUCCACCGUUCCGCAGUGUGAACAAUUUCCACCGUUCCGCAGUGUGAACGAGUCUCGCAGAGGCCCAUUCACACUAAUGUUAAGUUCACACCGGGGAAUUCUGCUCGUAGAAUUCCGCGGGAAUUCCGUAGUGUGAACGCACCCUUAUUGGCAAACACAGGUCUACGCUGCUCCUGCACUACUAGGAUAUAAUGAUGUCCUUUACUAAACCCUGUUGUGUUCAGUCAAUGUUUGCACCAAAAACAUUAGUGCUCCUAUAUGUCUACACAUAGCAGCCACUUUUCAGACCAGGAAGGAUGGCGAUAGUGUUUAACUUGGUUAUUUUGAUACACACCAAAGACUUCAUGAUUAUGUGGUGUCCCAGUACAGGUACAUUAUGUCAAGGUAUUUUAGGCCCUGUCAGAUUGAGAUCUCCAGUGUCCUGGGGGCUCCCCUGCAGGGACUCAACCAUUUCUAAUGUGUAUUUUCACUGUUAUAACUUAGCAAUCCAUUAUUAGGUGUCUGUAGCUUUAAUUAUGUUACCUAGCAACCUCAUACUUAGUCAGAAUAUGUGAGAGUUGAGGACUGAGGGCUAGACUAAACUUUUGUGUAAGGUGUUAUAUUAUGUUAUUACUUGUAUGUAACUUUAUUGUAAAUCCUAAAGGGGAUACAGAUGACUCUAUGAUCCACAGUGUGCAGAGUGCAGAAUCCGCAGAGGAGUGAGAGCAAAGAUGAGAGAGAGAUAAGAAAAGCAUGAAGUAACCUCAACUAAUAGCAAGCCUUUACUUCAGCCUUGAUCAGGGAAUUCCUAAAGGACAAUUCAUCAUCUUCCGGAGAAAAGCCACAAAUCUACCGACACUUCAUAAAAUACUAAGGCAACCAUCGAGGAACCAAAUGAUGGUAACAUGUCCUGAAUACAGUAAUACACAGACGGCCGCAUGACUGAAUAACCAUGACCUGGAAUAAUUUGGAAAGGCUGAAGACAGUAGAGAACUUUCUUCAGUGUACAGAAAGAUUCGAGAAAAAAUGGGAAGUGAUUAAAACCUUAUUCUUGUAAGACCUAAAAGUCUCCGCAGGACGAUUCCUUCCUUUCGUGAUAAAUAAUUUCCUGUGAUUGCGCGAUCGGACCUGCAUUGAAGAAGAUUACCAUUUUUUAACAAUUUUAGGAAAUUUAUUGCAAUCCUCAAUCAGGCAUCUUUUGUGUUAUGAAUGUAAUCAUUGUCCUUCAUUUUUAGAGAACGCGCCUCCACAAUGAUACAAUUAUCUGGUGACCUGGAAUUGUGACAUUCAUUUAUUAGACGCGCCAAUGUUCCCUUUUUUGUUGUAUGAAGGACUUGUCUAUCUCCAUGGUCUAUGGGCAUUGCACAAUUUUUUUGAAAACAAGCUAAUUAGAAAACAUCCUUAUGUUAUAUGUUUGGAGUAAUGAUUUGUGAUCCGAUUAACAUCUUAAAGGAAAACGGUCAUCUGUUCACCCACACUAGACCCAAUACACUGGGUUAUAGUGUGGGUGAACAGGAGACCGAUGAGGGAUUAAUGGGUUAAAUACCCAAUACACUGGGUUGUAGUUUGCGUGAACAGGAGACCGAUGAGGGGUUAAAUACCCAAUACACUGGGUUAUAGUGUGGGUGAACAGGAGACCGAUGAGGGGUUAAUGGGUUAC
Hyla sarda is the source of this 1816-nucleotide long non-coding RNA. RefSeq lists it as uncharacterized. The transcript has 4 exons. The record is from RefSeq and is a predicted model, not a curated record. NCBI's taxonomy places the organism in Eukaryota, Metazoa, Chordata, Amphibia, Anura, Hylidae.